This 438-nucleotide ribosomal RNA is filed under the name uncultured fungus. RNAcentral's name for it is "eukaryotic LSU rRNA". The stretch from base 139 to 276 matches the Rfam family "5.8S ribosomal RNA". The record is from RNAcentral. Lineage: Eukaryota; Fungi.
CUUGGUCAUUUAGAGGAAGUAAAAGUCGUAACAAGGUACCUGUAGGUGAACCUGCAGGUGGAUCAUUAGCGAAGCCCGAUUCGGGUGCAAACUCAAUGCUGCGCAAGCGGCCUAUGUCGUUGUUGUUGUUUAAUUUACAACUGUCAGCAAGGGAUCGUUUGGUUCUCGUGUCGAUGAAGAGCGCAGCGAGGUGCGAAAAUUGGCGUGACACGCAGAGGUGAACGUCGAGUGCUUGAAUGCAGCGUGCACCGUUACGGUGUGUCUGUCUGGGUGUGUGUUAUUUCAAUAAUUUUUGUGUGCGCUGUGGACGCGUUUAGGUGACUGAACCCGCAGCGUCAAUCGUCGGUGUGCGGCGAAUAGUGUCGUCUGUGCAGAAGUUUCGUCACCCCAGAUCAGAUACGACUACCCGCUGAACUUAAGCAUAUCAAUAAGCGGAGG